Molecule: ribosomal RNA, 622 nt
Filed under: Vibrio sp.
Lineage: Bacteria; Pseudomonadati; Pseudomonadota; Gammaproteobacteria; Vibrionales; Vibrionaceae
Description: bacterial SSU rRNA
Rfam family: Bacterial small subunit ribosomal RNA
Source: RNAcentral
CAGACUACACAUGCAAGUCGAGCGGCAGCGACAACAUUGAACCUUCGGGGGAUUUGUUGGGCGGCGAGCGGCGGACGGGUGAGUAAUGCCUGGGAAAUUGCCCUGAUGUGGGGGAUAACCAUUGGAAACGAUGGCUAAUACCGCAUGAUACCUUCGGCUCAAAGAGGGGGACCUUCGGGCCUCUCGCGUCAGGAUAUGCCCAGGUGGGAUUAGCUAGUUGGUGAGGUAAGGGCUCACCAAGGAGACGAUCCCUAGCUGGUCUGAUGAGGAUGAUCAGCCACACUUGGAACUGAGACACGGUCCAGACUCCUACGGGAGGCAGCAGUGGGGAAUAUUGCACAUGGGCGCAAGCCUGAUGGGCCAUGCCGCGUGUAUGAAGAAGGCCUUCGGGUUCUUUCAGCAGUGAGGAAGGAGGUAUCGUUAGUAGCGGUAUCUUUUGACGUUGGCUGCAGAAGAAGCACCGGCUAACUCCGUUGACAGCAGCCGCGGUAAUACGGAGGGUGCGAGCGUUAAUCGGAAUUACUGGGCCUAAAGCGCAUGCAGGUGGUUUGUUAAGUCAUAUGUGAAAGCCCGGGGCUCAACCUCGGAAUUGCAUUUGAAACUGGGAAGGUGAAGAAUAGUA